UUUAGUGAAGCAAUUAAUUGACAUGUACGACGGUGACCGCUCCGUGAAUUUAGUUGAUAGAUAUCGUAUAACCACCCUCUCUCGAAAUAGCAUUUUCGUUUACAUUUGGAGGGGGAAAAAAAAAACUUUCAAUACCUCAACGGGUUAUAAGUUUAUCAAUCAAUUAUCAAAAACUAUCAAAAAUAAAAUACUACUAAAUCGGAAUAUCAAAUUCAGCAUACAAAAAUAAAAUACUAUUAUGUUUUUUGCAUCUCUUAUUUUAAUAAUCAUUUUUAGAACACUGACACAACAAAUCUAAAGCCCAGUGGGCUAAUUAGGGCGGUGCCCUAAAUACACGCACUUUAUUUUUCCUAGGUUUUGACGUCACUCAAACUCUAUAAAACGGACCGAAAUUUUCUGUCUGAACCUGCGCCGUGCUUGUGUCUGAAAACCCGACAGAAAAAAAUGCCACCGAUACCUUCGCUGGAAGAUCUCCAUCGCCUAAGGCCGCCGCCUGAACCUCCGCCGCCGAGGUAUGCCUUCAAUUCCAUCUUCUUGAUUUGCUGUUUGCAUGCAAAAAAAAAAAAAAAAAAAUGGAUUGAUUUUUUUUUUCUGGUUUUGGCUAUCCGCUGCAGCCCAUUAUAAUUAAAAAUCUUAUAAGUGGCUGAUCUUUGUUUUUUUUUUUUUUAAAUCCGAUUUGAUUAUGGACAUGUUUUUUGUUCCGGAUAUUUGAUUUGUGGUGUGUUUCUUUUCCGGGCAGAUUUAUUCAGACAAUUUAUUGAUUGAUUUGUAACUUUACACGUUAAUUACAUUGUUUAUUGACAGAUCUUUGUUUUUUGUUUUAAACCCCGAUUUGAUCAUGUUUGAUUAUUACACAGAUGGAUGUUUAAAAACCUGAUUUAUACUUUCUUUUUAUUUGCUUUUUUGACAUACAGAUGGAGGAGAAGCAUAUCGAACAAUAUUCUUGUCAGCGACAUUAGGAUCUCUUUAAUUAGUAGUGCAGUUGAUAGUGUUGGAGUGUUGGAAAAGGUUGAUAAUUAUAGAAUUAUCCAGUGUGCAAUUAUCUUCCUUAAAGCCACCUUCCAUUUACUUAUCAAUUGCAUGGCGGAAAUUUUUAAAAGCUGCGGGCACAAGAUUUGGAGCUCAGUGUGGAUGGUCAGAGCAUGAUGAAGCUCAUUUUUUAGCGAUGAAAACCCCGUGGUCAACUGCCUAAGUUUGGCAAAAUGAUUUAUUUGACCAAAAAAUACAUUGAUUUUAACGGGUGGGGACUACUUGCUCGCCUGCUUGGCUGUGCACCAAUGCUAGAGAAGCUGUGCACCAAUGCUAGAGAAGCUGAUGUUCAGAUCGGGUUUUGACGAUGAAAGCUAUGGUAUGUGGCAAAAUGGUAAUAGUAAAGAAGGAAUUCUUGAGUAUUAGAUAAUGGUUCUUAAUGUGGAACACAUGGGGUAUAUCUCGAGGAUUUAAAUGAGGCCAAGAUAGCUGAUUAAUCAUAUUAGAAGAUAUGACAUUGAGCUAGAUUUUCUAGAUUGGUGUAUCUGGAUUGCUCGUGGAGGAAAAUCUAUUCGUCCACACUGAUAAAAACAUUCUCAUACGGGGAUAUGUAUUCAGGGAAAUCGACCGGGUUUAUAUAAAAGAGGAGCUACAUUCAUAUGAAUAUAAAUUAGCUUUAUUCCGACUGAAUUUGAGGUGCUAGAAACAUUAUGGUAUUUUAGAAUGUUCCUAACACCUCAAAUUCGGUCUUAGGAGAAAGAGAAGACGCUGAUAGGAAAACAAAAUGUAGCGACAAGACAAAUUAAUUCAUAUGAAUUUAACUCCUCUUUAUCGUCAACUCCGUUAUUUCCCCUUUCUAUCCCUUAUAGAAAUAGUUCACUUUCCGUUUGUUGAAAUUAUAUAUGAACAAGUGUACUUGCGUCAAAGUUUGUAGAUUGUAUUUUACUAUGUACGAAACUAGUUUUUCAGGUUCAUAUGUUUGUAAUAAUCUUGGACUUGUCUUAUUCUUAAGAAUGUAUCAUGCCAAAAGAUGUAAUGAUCUUUAAUUUUGACGGAAUGUUAUUAGGAAACCCGAUAAAUCUUAAAAUUCAAAAAGAAUAAAAAUUAUCAUGCAACUAUGACAUAGUUACAUAAUAUUUUAAUUAUAAGUUCUUCCCCAAGAUUUCCUAACAAUUAAGUAAUUUCAUGAAUGAAGAAAUUUCUGUUAGGAUAUGCGAAACAUUUGAUACACACUGCUGAACGAAAUUUUAUAAGUAACUAGCAUUU
Molecule: non-coding RNA, 2235 nt
Organism: Erythranthe guttata (spotted monkey flower)
Lineage: Eukaryota; Viridiplantae; Streptophyta; Magnoliopsida; Lamiales; Phrymaceae
Source: RefSeq, a predicted model, not a curated record